CAGGCGGGCUUCAGCCGAGCUUCUUCAAUAAACGAUCUCCAUCCGGACUUCUGCAAGAAUCAGACUCCGAUCGAACUUCUGUAGCGGAUAGAUGUCGGACGAACUUCUAUGACAGACGGGUUCCAGCAGUCGGGCUCCCCCAACAGCCAAUCGCCCCCGACAUCUGUCAUACCUCCCCAGCCAUCGGCCUCAAAUAAUGUC
This 201-nucleotide long non-coding RNA is filed under the name Elaeis guineensis (African oil palm). RNAcentral describes it as "long non-coding RNA (EGUI_LNC052578)". The record is from RNAcentral. Lineage: Eukaryota; Viridiplantae; Streptophyta; Magnoliopsida; Arecales; Arecaceae.